This 1879-nucleotide unclassified non-coding RNA is filed under the name Hevea brasiliensis (rubber tree). The record is from RNAcentral. Lineage: Eukaryota; Viridiplantae; Streptophyta; Magnoliopsida; Malpighiales; Euphorbiaceae.
AGGAGCAUGCUUCUCACAAACAUGGUAUUGCCCUUGAUGCAUCUCGGUCUUAAAAAAUAAAUUUCUGCUUUUGCAAUUUGCAUUCAGAAUUAUUUAUAUAUGUAGUAUAUAAUUUUGUUUUCUUUUGUGGCAGUAUUGGUUAUUGUAACACUUCUGGCAUUAUUUUUCCAUGGGCUGCAUUUUAUAAUCGUGAUUUAUUUGAAGUUAAAAUAACAAUUUGGUUUGAAGGUAGGAAAUCUAAAUUUAGUUGCGGCUGAUAAGAACAACUCAAAUUGCUCUGAUAAGCACAACUCAAAUUGCUACUUAAAUUGUUGUUUUAUGUUUCUUUACCAACUUGGUUGUUAAUAAAAUUGAGUUUCUUCUCAUAGUUUUUGUCAUAUUGGCAAAGAACUAUUGAUAUGUUCUAUUUGAACUAAUAUAAGUAAUAGUGGAUUGACUUUUGGACUGUAUAGUUAGGUACAACUCCACAUGUAUAUAGUCAAUAAUCAGCAUGAACUUGGGUUUGAUAAAAUCGUAUUAUGUGUGGUCAUGAUUUCUUUGAUGGUAAAAUAAAAAUUUGGUAUGAAGGAUAAGAAAUCUGAAGUUAAAAGGUUUUGAUACUUAUAACUCUAAUUGUUAUAAACAAUUUUGGAUAAAUAUCCUGGUAUCAAAUUCUUUUUACAUUUUUUUCCCCGCAAAAUUGAGCUUCUUCUCAUAGUCUUUGUGAGUUUGGAAAAGAACUGUUGAUAUGUUUUUUAUGUGAUGGUAUAUGUGAAUUACUAUUAAUGAUUGGGAAUUGCAUUUUUUGGACUACAUGGUUAACCCCAAAUUUGUUAAGUCAAAAGUUCACAAAGGGCUUGAAUUGUGAUAAAUGAAGGGUAGGAAAUUUGAAUUUAAAGCAUUUGACAGUCACAACUAAAUUUGCUACUAAAAUAUUUUGGAUUUAUAUUUUAGUUUCUACUUGCUCGCUUGCAAAAUUGAGCUACUUCUCAAUAUUUCUAUCUCAUUAGAAAAAAAACAAAGUAUUGAUAUGGUUUCUGUUAACUGCUUUUGGCAAUUGGGGGUUGAUUAUGUCCAACUCCUCACCAGUUAAGUCAAACCCCAACGGUCUUAGUUCAUAAUGUAAUGGUCUUAGGGAAAACACUAGUUUGAAGUGUGGAACCAAGUGCUAUACUGUGGGAAGUUUUGGGGGAACCAACCACCUGUAGAAUUUUCAUCAUCUAGUGAAUUAAGAUUUUUGCUGCGGCUUGACAUUGAUGAGGUUGUCAAGGAUCUAAGUGGGGAAGAAUGUGAUGCUCCAAGUCUGAUAUUGGAAAUUGACUAUUGAUAUCCUCUAUGUAUAAUGGCCUAUAUGACCUAAUGCUACUACUAUCAAUGGGGAUUGACUUUUAGGCAAUGCUGUUGAGCCCAAUCUCAUUCCAAUUUUUAGGCCAAAAGUCUUUUUGGGCCAUGAUCACAAUUCAUAGGUUUUAAGAUUAAAGGCAUGGAAAUCAGUUAAAACAGCAUGCAAAAUGUCUGCAACUUUACAAAUCACAAAAGCAAGUUAAUGGCAUUAUCUAAUACAGCAUAUAUGAAGAUAAACUUAUCAUGAAUACAAAGUCAAUCUCCCUAUGUUGUGGUUAAUGUCACUGUUGUUAGAAUCUUACGUUCUCGAUUCGAUUCGUAUGAUUCGAUUUGAUUUUCCUUCUUAGUGAUUCGAAUUUGUAGAGUGAGUCGCAAAUAUACUUGAAUUGUGGCUGAAUCUUAUGAUUUAAUAGUGAAUCGGGUGAAUCGAUACGAAUCAACCGAUUCAGUUGAUUUUUUUUUCUUAAUGGUUGUUAGACCCUAUACUUUCAAAAUUUAAGAUUUCACUUUUUUUUUAUUAUGAGAAGUGCACAUAAAACCUUCUCCUACGCUUUUU